AGAUUCGUUGAGAAUCCGGUCACACCCGUGCAUUACACUUCCUCGGUAAAGUAAUUGUUUUAGAACUAAUUGGCCUGUCUCUCAUUUACACCAAGUCCUUUUUAUCCCAGUGUAAAGGAGUCUUAAUGCAGGUGUACUGUAAUUUAGUCCCAUAUUAAGGCCCUUUUACCUGGCUGGUGUAAGAAUCAGAUCCUUUGACAACGUGACUUGAUUAGAGGAAGCCCUGGUUUUAGAUUGCCGCCAUGCUGGGGAAGAUGGUAGCGGCUGUUACAACCUUUACAUGCCUGAUGAUGCUCAGCAACUUACAAACUAAUGAGGCCACAGAGGUGCCGAGCAAUCGGGUGAAUGGGAUUGUCCAUGGCACUGUGUAUCUGAACCCCAAACAGUCAAUCCCAGAGAAAUACAAGCAGAUCACCUGGUGGUUCAAGAAGUCCCUAAAGAUCCUGACUAAAAAAUGGGAUCAGCCAGUGUCUUACCGCAAUGGCUCUUUUCAUAAUAAACUGCAUUACCAUGAGAAUCACACCCUGGAAAUUAACCAGCUGCAGAAGCAAGAUAGCGGCACCUUCCGGAUGGAAGUGGAAGACAGCCAAAGCAAGAAGUCAAAUGAAGAUAUCCAGCUGGACGUGUACGAGCCCAUCCCUAAGCCCAGUGUGAAGGUCACUUCCAGGGUCAACAAAGAUGGAUGGUGCAAGGCCACCCUGGAGUGCAUUGUGGCUGCCACCCAAGUGACCUACCACUGGUGUGAGAAUGAAGAGGAUUUAGUGGGCAAUAAUAGCAGCACACUGGACGUUGCGUUAAAGUCAGAAAGUGACGCAUCUUACAAAUGCAUCGUCAGCAACCCCGUCAGCGAAGAGACGGGCUUCAUCUAUUACAGAAGCCCUUGCACAUGGAAUGAGAAAAACUCAGCUGUGCCCGUGUCCAUGGCUCGGAAGAUGGCUGAUUCCAUUCUGGCAUUUGGAUUUCUCCUCCUCGUCCAUAACUGGGUCUAGGGCUGGGGAGUCAAGAGAACGCAACGAACUCCUCCAUUGCCUCCGCCUGGUGAAACACACAAGACCAAAAUGAACACCAGAAAUAACAGCGUUCGACAGUCAUCUACCAUCUUGCCAACACACUGGAGAUUAAGCUAGGGACUUUCUUAGGGUCUUGAACCCAGGCCUGGGAGUCCUUGGAUAGCUGCUGCUGCAUCCUGGCCCCUGCACCCCCUGUCAGCUGAAACCUAGAGUGCCC
This is an RNA transcript of Gopherus evgoodei (Goodes thornscrub tortoise), 1227 nucleotides long. It is a transcript of the gene named CD48 molecule, with no coding region annotated. The transcript is spliced from 5 exons. The record is from RefSeq and is a predicted model, not a curated record. Lineage: Eukaryota; Metazoa; Chordata; Testudines; Testudinidae.